This is a long non-coding RNA of Diabrotica virgifera virgifera (western corn rootworm), 2481 nucleotides long. RefSeq lists it as uncharacterized. The transcript is spliced from 3 exons. The record is from RefSeq and is a predicted model, not a curated record. NCBI's taxonomy places the organism in Eukaryota, Metazoa, Arthropoda, Insecta, Coleoptera, Chrysomelidae.
GCGGGAAGUUUAAAAUUUGACAGUUGUGUUUUCUCGAAUCCGAAUCUUAACCUUACUUUUACAGGUGAUUAUUUGUAUGUAUGUAAAUAAAUUGAAACAAGUCUUGUUUGUAUUAUACUGUUAUUAUUUAAAACUCUAAAUAAUUUAUGUUAGUCUUUUAACAAAAAUGAAGCUCAAAAAACUACACUUGUUUACAGUGCAAAUGAUUUUUUAAUGGCAAGAGGGAUUUAGGAUUUCAUUUGCAGGAAAAACAUGGGCAACCUACCCAGUUGGUAAAAUUGCAAUUCAAAAACUCUUUAGAUUUUACUGUCUGGAUGGCACAGGAAGAGAAACAAAAUAAUGUUCUGUACUGCAGUCACAGGAGUACAUAGUAGAGAUAUAAUAAAAAAGCUGUUCAACAUCACUGGACACCAUUUAAUUUUUAGAAAAUGAAAAGUCUUGAGGUUGAAUGCGAUCUGUAGUAUUGCUACAUAAUGAAUGUGUUUAGAUAUGGUAUUUUUUGUUGAAUAAUCUAUACAGGCCCAACUAAAUAAAUGUAUACAUAUAUUGCAGAAAGUGCAUUUAAUGGAGCAGCAAGUUUUUUUUGUGUUUCAAUGAGGUAUUCAGUUUUUUCUUUUAGUAUAUACACAUUAUCUUGUAAAAUAGCAAGCUAAUACAGUUCGAUAUCUAGACAUUAUAGAGCUUUCAACAGGUUUACCUUUUUUAAGUUAAAUAAACAAUAACAACCGAUUUUUCAAUGGCCAUAUUAUUGGUAUUAAUUCCAUAACCCUUCCUAUAACAAUAGUCCCAUUGUUGGAAGUUAUUGCAGUAGUUCUGCUGGAAAUACUUACCAAAGUUGUAUGUAUCUAUAUCAUUCAUCAGAAAUUUCAUUAAGAUUUACUUGCCAUGCCCUCUCUAUGUACCAGGGACAUAACAGUCUAGUAGGAACAGAAAACAUUACGUUCAGGCAUUGUAAAAAGUGUUAUGUCUGACAUGAAAAUAUUUGACUAUAUAAUACCAGAACGCUCAUGUAUUUUUUCAAAAAAAGUGGGUAAAUAAAAGUAUCUUUUCUAUUUGAACAUAAGAAAACAAUGGGAAAUUCAUACUGUCAUAAGUUCAAAGUGAUAGGAAAUGAGCCCAUGAGUUCCAUAAAUUGCGAUUUACCAAACUUAAUUAAUAUUUCCUUUUGCACAGCAUUCAUGGAAAUACUUAAGACAAAAAUCAUUAUUGUUAAAUUCGGGAUGAUUAUCAAUUAGUAUGCCCUGUUGGUUGUAAAAUAAUAUUGGACAUGAGCCAGUCUGUAAGCAUUCAAUUACCCAUAAAUGAACACUGGUUGCGCCUACAUCCAUCUUUCAAAUCAAUGUCAUAGGAGUGUUUAAUGUUCGUGUUAUCUUGUCUUGUAAGUAAAUCAACUCUCAAUAAUAUUUAAAAAAUGGACUAGUGGUAACAUUUUUGUUUUAAAUUAUAUUGUGUAUAUGCAAAUAUUUUACUUACAUUUUUGAAUAUGCCCAUGUGUUUUAAAAUAAUAAAUGUUACUGCACAACAAUCAGUUUGAAUAUUUUUAGAUAUGUACUAGUAUUUGAUUAGUACACGAAAUGCAGCAGACAUGUUCUCUCUUCUAUCUUAAGAGCUGAUUUAAUCUCUACUUGUAUCUGUAAAGUUUAUCAUUUUUCCCAUAGCCAAUUUUAACACUCCCGGUUCCUCAACGUCUAUAUCCAAACCUGUUACGAUCACAUUAUCAUAUUUCUCUUCUCGUUCUCUAGGUAAUCUAGUCUAGUAAUUAAUUCUCGAACUGUCUUGUUUGUAUUAAAUAUCUUAAUUAUGUACUUAUUUUAUUUUUAUAAUGAAAAUUAAUAAAUUAACCAUAUGCAGCACAGCAAACAAAUGUUUUCGGAAAUAUAUUUAUAAGAAUUUAAUUGCCUCUUUUUUUGUAUAGGUACGACAUAGUAAGUAAAAACUAUUACAUUUAUUAAUAUAAUAUUUAUUAUUAUACAUAAGUAAAAACUAUUUUUAUAGCUAGGAAUUACUUUAUUAAAUGGUCUUAAACCUGUUCAUAAAUUUUGUUACUAUAUUUUUUAAUUCUGAUUAUAACAAUAAUAACUUUUUAGUUUAGAUUUAGGUCAAAGUGUGUAAUGUCAUGUUUUAUGUAUUUUUUAACCCUAACACAUUUGUAUGUAGCAAAUCAUAUUUGUUAUUCUUAUCUUAUUUUAAUUAUAUUCAUUUAAGUUUUGAUUUAAUGAAAUAAACCUAUCAGUCAAAAAACUGUUGUUUAGUUGUGUACACCCAAAAACUAGCUUGAUGUAAUACAGAUGUCAAUUGAAUAUGACAUAAAUCCACGUCAUAAAGACGUCUUUCUAUGGUCAAAAUGUCAGCCUAAAGACGUCAUUUAUUAUGUCUUAUGUCACAAAAUUACCACAAUAAAACGUUAAAUAUAAAAUUGCUCAAUUUAAUGUCAUUCAAGUUCGAUGUGAUGUAUAGGGUUUUUCAUCAACAGUCAUUUGU